UGCAGACAAUGUGUUGAGGUGAAAUG
This 26-nucleotide non-coding RNA is filed under the name Mus musculus (house mouse). Lineage: Eukaryota; Metazoa; Chordata; Mammalia; Rodentia; Muridae. The record is from RNAcentral.